AUCAGCUGGUUGCCAAUCUUAACUUUUAGUCAUUAAGGAGAAUUUUCAAGACAAAAUCCCAAUUCAGCUGCUUACUAGGAGUGCGGCCCAGGCUCAAGGCUGCUUUCUACCAUCUUAGAAGCAGAAAAAAACCUCAAACUUGCCUUUCCUCUUGGAAGCAAGCUGAAAAUCCAGAAAGGAGUUGCCUGCACUCCAUCAACAUGGAAACAGAAAAACUCACUUUCCUUGUUGGACGUGAGCGAAACUCCAGAAAAGGAGUUGUACAGCAAGAUAAACCUUAGGUCUCAACCAAAUUUGGGGAGAUCAGGGAUUCUCUGGAGAGGAAAUCUCUGCACCUCAGCAAAUUGUCCCAUUGGUUUGAGCAAUAAAGAUAGUUCAAGCUGGUACCAAGCAUUGAUAGAUUUGUUAAAGGUCAGGGCCACCUCCAUUCAGAGUUCCCCGUGUUGGUCACCAAUUUGUAAACCAAAAUGUAUCUGAGACAGCGAGAUUGUCCCACUGCACUCUAGCCUGGGCAUGACAGAGCGAGACUCCGUCUCAAAAACAGACAGACAAACAAAGAAAAACCCUCUAGAAGGUAGAGCUAAGACCACAGGAAACAAUGUGCUAGUGGUGGGGUGGGGGUGGGGGGUACCAUGGGUCAGGAUUGAGGCCUAAUCAAGGAACAUUCCCACCCUGGUUGAGAGGACCCUUGCAAUGUCUGCUGGGCAGGAUUCCGAGAGUGCCACAGACUAAUGAUGGCUGGCUGUGUCUCAUUCUUUCCCUUUUGGAAUGGGAGUGCUUAUCGUAGGUAUCCUGGGAGAAUUCCCUCAGCAUAAUUAAGAAUGUGAGUUAAUCAAGAUUCAUGCCUGAAUAUUCAGUCACUUCAUCUUUACAUGGCAAUGGGCCAAGGCAACACCUACAAACAGGGUCUACAUAUUACUCAAACCCAAAGAAUUUUGAGGUCUGCUUCAAAACACCAAAAAAAGAGAAUUAUCUUAAAAGAUGGCCAUGACAGUUAUAGCUGGGAUCAUGUUCUUUUAUUUUCAUAUUACCAAAGUAAUGCAUGAAUGCAUGCUUAUUUUUUUUUAAAAUUUAGGAAAACAUCAUUGUACACCGAGUAAAAAGUGAAAAUAUUGUUUAUUGCAGUCCACAAUCUCUUCCUUGCACAACCCCACUUAUCUCCCCAUAGAUAGCCACUGAAAUCGUUCAGCAGAACUGAUGAACUAUGGUAUAACUCUUAAUGUGAGAUAGGAAAAACAUAACAAAAAUGGUUAUAUAAGUGUAUUGUGUAGAUGUGUACUUAGGAAAGUGCUAGAAGGAAUCAAAUAUUAAUCAUGGCAUUCCCUGAAUUGUGGGAUUAUGCUUGUUAUUUGCUUUCUUCCUGAUGUUUUUCUAAGUUUUCUAAUUUUCGAUAUAAAAAUGCUAAUUUUGUUCAGUUCCCACCUAUGAGUGAGAAUAUGCGGUGUUUGGUUUUUUGUUCUUGCGAUAGUUUACUGAGAAUGAUGAUUUCCAAUUUCAUCCAUGUCCCUACAAAGGACAUGAAUGCUAGAUGACGAGUUAGUGGGUGCAGCGCACCAGCAUGGCACAUGUAUACAUAUGUAACUAACCUGCACAAUGUGCACAUGUACCCUAAAACUUAAAGUAUAAUUAAAAAAAAAAAGAGAGAAAAAAAUGCUAAUUUUAUAUUUAUGUAGAGCAGGAUUUAUGUCCAAUUCAAUUGAAGGAGUUUCAAGUCAUUGCAGUAAAAAGUUUUAUAAAAGUCGGGUGCGAAGAACGAGUAAUGAGGUAGGCCUACAAGACAGUCAACACAAGAAGAAUUUACAAGUAAUUCAAUAAAUACCUAUUCAGUGCCAACAUUGUUUUAGGAGUUAAGAAGAAAAUGGUGAUUAAGACAGGUAAGAUCCCUCUUCUCAUGGACAUAAAUAUGUCACAAAGGAGGCAGAUUAUGAAUAAUACAUCAAUAAGAUAAUUCAGGUAAUAUCUAGUGCUAUGAAGAAACUAAAGAAGGGCAUGGUAAUAGCACAUGCUGUCAGGGAGUAAUAUCUGCGAGACAGGACAGUCAAAGAAGGCCUCUCUGGGGCCUUCGGAGCUGAGACUUGGAUGCGAAGGACCAACCUACUCAAUGCUCUGCAGCCAGAGCAUUUGAGGCAGAAGAAACAGCAGUUGCAAAAACCAAGGCAGGUAUAGGCUUGGUUGAUUCAGGGAGUGGGUGGAUUCAGCUGGUACAAAUCUGUGAAGGCAAAUCCUGAUAGUAAUAUGAACCUGUUGAAUGGAUGGUAGUUACACACAUUGAAAUGUCUGCACUUUUGGCAGGGAUUUUCUUGAGAGGAAAAAGUAUGACCUAUAAAAUAUUAUUGACAAAGUUUUCAAAUGUGGCAAGAGCAACUGCAGUGCUAAAAUGGUAUUAAACCACACAGAAGCUAGGCACGGUGGCUCACGCCUGUAAUCCCAGUAUUUUGGGAGGCCGAUGAGAACGGAUCACCCGAGGUCAGGAGUUCGACACCAGCCUGGCUAACAUGGGUGAAAUCCCGUCUCUACUAAAA
This 2522-nucleotide long non-coding RNA is filed under the name Homo sapiens (human). RNAcentral describes it as "non-protein coding lnc-STMP1-4:1". Lineage: Eukaryota; Metazoa; Chordata; Mammalia; Primates; Hominidae. The record is from RNAcentral.